AGACCGUUUUCCAGCGAGCGGUUACAGACUUGGGGUAAGUGUGGAUAUGUGUUUGGCGGGAGUUUAUACACAAGAAAGCCCCUACUUGGCUCAUGUCUUGUUCUGAGUUCGUUCACAGUGAGGAUAAUAUUGUAGAGGUGCGGGAAAGUUGUGUGCUUCCCAUUUAUUGUAUAAUCUUCAGUAAAUUUUAAGUAAUGUCUUAUCCCUGUAAACUGGGUGUUGUGAUGCGCUUUGGUGUAAACCAGCAAUUUUCAUGAAGUGACUUAGUGUGGUGUGCUAGUGGUGUAGCUGUAGUUUCUCUCUUAAAGGCUUAAAAUCUGAAAUUUUGGGCAAUUUUAUCUGCUGAAGCAGACAAAAGCCACUUCCACGUGUGGUGAAAUUAGACUCAUAAUAGAUAACUUCCAGCUCAGUGGAUUUUAAAGCAUUUACAAAACUUUUUUUUUUUUUUUUUUUGUGCUGCUAGAGAUACAGCAGUGAAAUCACAGUACUCUGGGAUAGCACACUUGUGCAAAGAGUUACCCUGUCUUUGGAACUGCAGGGAAAACAGGGGCAGAAAGUAAUCACCUACACUAGAAUUUGAUCAUGUGCUAAGUGACUGUUCUUUGUUCUGAAAAAAAAUAGCUGAAUUCUUACUGAAAUUGUGUGGUUAGGCUGUCACUUUGAUAUUAAUCAUUGAAGGGUAUCGCACUAUCCCUGCUGUUAAGAUGUAGCAUUGGAUAGGUGAUGAUUCAGAAGAUAACCAGAUACCUACCGUGAAUCAAUAUGUACACUUUCUCCUUGGAUCUGUUCCAUAUAAACAUGUUAAAGACUUGUAAAGUCUAAUAGAAGAGGUUUAAGCAGAUGGUAUAGCUGCAGGCUUAUGAAAGAUUUUUUUGGUUGGUUGGUUAGGUUUUUUUGGUUUUGUUUUUCCCCAAAACCAUAAAAUGGUUUGGGUUAGAAAGGAUCUUAAGAUCAUCUAGUUCCAACCUCCUGCCAUGGGCAGGGACACCUCACACUAGACCGUGUCACCCAGUGCUCUGUCCAACCUGGCACUGGAACACUGCCAGGGAUGGAGCAUUUACACUUCUUUGGGCAACCUGAAUAAAUGGUUGAGUGAAUGAUGUACCAGUUUAACACAGCCACUACUUAAGCGACCAAUAUACUCUCUUGUUCACUUCUCCACUUAUUCCUUAAUUUAUCAAAAUUUUAUAUGCUUAUUAUACAGUUUCCAUAUUUUUGUAGGCAGUGUUUAUGAGUUGUAUGCAAGUGUUUUCAUUCUUUCCCGGUUUCAAAGCUAAAGUACAACAUUGUCUUCAUUGGUAAGUUCUCAUGUAAACUGAAACUGUAAACAAAUAUAAUGUAAAACAUAGAGCAUACCAGUAAAGUUAGAUGUGAUUGGGAAGAGAUGGUCCUAUAUGUUUCAAUUUAGAGAGUGUUUCUUAUAAAUCUCUGGUUUGGACAUGUUAAUCUUGAUAUGCUUUCAUAACAGGUUUGAUCUAUUUGAUUUUGUAGAUUCUCCUAGUUAUAGAAAACAAAAAAAAUUUUAAUAAUUUAUGCCUCUUAAAAUAUGAACUUUUAUGCUGUAUGUCUCAAAAUCAGACUUGGUAUGGUCAGGGUGAGUGCAUUCCAUAUGUAUAUAUAAACGGCAUCACUAGUUUUUCUUGUUAUGUGUUGGUGUUGCUUUCAUUAUUAUUAAAAGGCUAAGACACUAAGGGAA
Molecule: long non-coding RNA, 1696 nt
Organism: Strigops habroptila (Kakapo)
Lineage: Eukaryota; Metazoa; Chordata; Aves; Psittaciformes; Psittacidae
Source: Ensembl